UUUUUUUUUUCAAUUAAAUAACGAUACUCAUUCACUGCACAUUUGUAAAGGAACAGUCAACAAAUAUAUCUAAGACAAAUUUAAUGAGAAGACGAAGGGAUUUUGGAGAGGACGGCGGCUGGGACAGAAACUACUAAAAAUUAAGGUCAGCUCAACACUACUUGUACAAAGAAAAGAGUUCCUAAUGCAUAUGGUACAAACCCUGCGAUGUAUUUUAAUCAGGAAACAGUCAUGUGAUCCAUAUUGCAGCAUUGGGCUUAUCAUCAGUGACUGCUGUUGAAACACCCCCCCACCCCCCCAAAAAAGGGAGAUGAUCUCUGGAGAAUGCAUGACCAUACUUCCUGUUACAGAAUGCUCAAGUUAAUCACCAAAUUGAAUCAAACUAUGCAUCAUCAUCCCCAUCUCCAUCCUUGUCUGCAUCACCACCAGCCUCAGCAUUGUCCUCAGCUUCCUCCCCUUCUUCCUCAUCAGACAUAUUGUUUAUCACCUCCGUAAUAAUAUC
RNAcentral lists this unclassified non-coding RNA (502 nucleotides) under Hevea brasiliensis (rubber tree). Lineage: Eukaryota; Viridiplantae; Streptophyta; Magnoliopsida; Malpighiales; Euphorbiaceae. The record is from RNAcentral.